This 485-nucleotide ribosomal RNA is filed under the name uncultured bacterium. RNAcentral describes it as "bacterial SSU rRNA". It matches the Rfam family "Bacterial small subunit ribosomal RNA", at positions 28 to 509 of the family's 1533-position model. The record is from RNAcentral.
GAUGAACGCUGGCGGCGUGCCUAACACAUGCAAGUCGAACGAAGCAUUUUAACUUGAUUUCUUCGGAAUGAAGGUUCUUGUGACUGAGUGGCGGACGGGUGAGUAACGCGUGGGUAACCUGCCUCAUACAGGGGGAUAACAGUUGGAAACGACUGCUAAUACCGCAUAAGCGCACAGCAUCGCAUGAUGCAGUGUGAAAAACUCCGGUGGUAUGAGAUGGACCCGCGUCUGAUUAGCUAGUUGGUGGGGUAACGGCCUACCAAGGCGACGAUCAGUAGCCGACCUGAGAGGGUGACCGGCCACAUUGGGACUGAGACACGGGCCCAAAACUCCUACGGGAGCAGCAGUGGGGAAUAUUGCACAAUGGGGGAAACCCUGAUGCAGCGACGCCGCGUGAGCGAUGAAGUAUUUCGGUAUGUAAAGCUCUAUCAGCAGGGAAGAAAAAUGACGGUACCUGACUAAGAAGCACCGGCUAAAUACGUGCC